Molecule: long non-coding RNA, 311 nt
Organism: Photinus pyralis (common eastern firefly)
Lineage: Eukaryota; Metazoa; Arthropoda; Insecta; Coleoptera; Lampyridae
Exons: 3
Source: RefSeq, a predicted model, not a curated record
CGUGCGGCUAGGGAGAUAGAGAAUUAUAAUUAUUGGAAUUCACUGUUUAUCAGGAUUUAUCUCCUAGCUCCUGUAUCUGAUACUGGUUGGCUGAUCGAAUUGAUGGUAUAGUUGGGAAUCAGUAUAAGUAGUUUGUUUUAUCAGAUUUGAAGCAGCCUGAAGAGAAUACCAAUUGGGAAUUUGAUUAGUGUAUAUAGUUAGGAAACAACGUCGAAUUAGAAUAUUAGGAUGGUAGUCAUAAGUUUGAGUUUAGAACAUUGCGGACGAGUUGCAAGCUAUAACAUCUAGGUAAGAAUUAGGUAUCUCUUAAG